ACUUGUUUAAUUUUCAUAGAUUUCUUCAACCUCAAUUCAAGAUUCUAAUGUCAAGCCUGCACAUGAGAUGCUGUAGCCGUCUACUCAAGCUGUUCAGUCACAGCCAAAGAGAUUACAUAUGUGAAUUUCCAGAAUGAGAGACCCAGAAAAUGCCAUGGUUUAGUUCUCCAACUCCAGAAAAAUUGUGGAAAGGUUACAAGAAGAACAGAAAUCAAGUGUGUACAUGAAAAAAUAUAGUUUUUUGCUUCAUGACAUCGUAAAUGUUAUACAUGUAAAAUAUCAUUUGUGAAGUUUCAUUUUUAGGUUUAUGUGGGAAUAACUUUGUCUUUAAAUUUGACAAGAAAGGUUGCUCUUGGCAAAGUUCUAUGUAAAUAAGUAAACGGUAUAACCACAGAAAAAAUUUAUAAGUUGUAUUUAUGUAAGAUGCUUCAAGUGCUUGUAGUUGUACAAAUAAU
Balaenoptera ricei (Rice's whale) is the source of this 455-nucleotide long non-coding RNA. RefSeq lists it as uncharacterized. The transcript is spliced from 3 exons. The record is from RefSeq and is a predicted model, not a curated record. Lineage: Eukaryota; Metazoa; Chordata; Mammalia; Artiodactyla; Balaenopteridae.